This 263-nucleotide ribosomal RNA is filed under the name Rhizoctonia solani. RNAcentral's name for it is "partial 28S rRNA". It matches the Rfam family "Eukaryotic large subunit ribosomal RNA", at positions 3131 to 3401 of the family's 3401-position model. Lineage: Eukaryota; Fungi; Basidiomycota; Agaricomycetes; Cantharellales; Ceratobasidiaceae. The record is from RNAcentral.
UAAGUCAGAACCGUGCUAGAAACGAUGAUGUUGGUCCCGCACAUAUUAGCUGUGUUAAAAUAGAGCUUUGCUCGUGAACCAAAUCAGACAGACGUGGAUGCUGCAGUGGAAAUCUGUGGUGUCUAGUUUGUGAAUUGUAAUUACCAUAUGGGCGGGGGUGAAUCCUUUGCAGACGACUUGAAUGGGAACGGGGUACUGUAAGCAGUAGAGUAGCCUUGUUUGCUACGAUCUGCUGAGGUUAAGCCCUUGUUCUAAAGAUUUGU